This 492-nucleotide ribosomal RNA is filed under the name uncultured bacterium. RNAcentral's name for it is "partial 16S ribosomal RNA". It matches the Rfam family "Bacterial small subunit ribosomal RNA", at positions 29 to 507 of the family's 1533-position model. The record is from RNAcentral.
AGUGAACGCUGGCGGUAGGCCUAACACAUGCAAGUCGAACGGCAGCACAGUAAGAGCUUGCUCUUACGGGUGGCGAGUGGCGGACGGGUGAGGAAUACAUCGGAAUCUACUUUUUCGUGGGGGAUAACGUAGGGAAACUUACGCUAAUACCGCAUACGACCUACGGGUGAAAGCAGGGGAUCUUCGGACCUUGCGCGAUUGAAUGAGCCGAUGUCGGAUUAGCUAGUUGGCGGGGUAAAGGCCCACCAAGGCGACGAUCCGUAGCUGGUCUGAGAGGAUGAUCAGCCACACUGGAACGGAGCCACGGUCCAGACUCCUACGGGAGGCAGCAGUGGGGAAUAUUGGACAAUGGGGGCAAGCCUGAUCCAGCCAUACCGCGUAGGUGAAGAAGGCCUUCGGGUUGUAAAGCCCUUUUGUUGGGAAAGAAAAGCAGCAGGUUAAUACCCCGCUGUUCUGACGGUACCCAAAGAAUAAGCACCGGCUAACUUCGUG